Molecule: long non-coding RNA, 336 nt
Organism: Aricia agestis (brown argus)
Lineage: Eukaryota; Metazoa; Arthropoda; Insecta; Lepidoptera; Lycaenidae
Exons: 3
Source: RefSeq, a predicted model, not a curated record
UAGUCGCGACGUGCGCACGCGUGGGGCCAUCUUGGAUUUACUUCUCUCGCGUUCCGUUUCAAAAUAACGUUCUAAAGCACGUUCUUUUUUCAAACUGUGUUCUAAUCUGUGACUUUCAUUUUUUUGUGCAAUUAAUCGAAUUGGUUAUGAGUGAUUGAGUUGGCGUUCGUUUGUCUUCAUAUUUGGGAUUUACUUUCUAUUACUGUAAAUAUUUGUUCGAAUCAAAAUGUCUUGCUGGCGUACUGAUUGGAUAACUUAAGGUACAUGAGGAAACGUGUUACGCGUAAGUUUAUGUAAUCAAUUAACUAUUUUGACCAGUUAACCUAACGGGGGUUU